UACGUAGGUCCCAAGCGUUGUCCGGAUUUAUUGGGCGUAAAGCGAGCGCAGGUGGUUUCUUAAGUCUGAUGUAAAAGGCAGUGGCUCAACCAUUGUGUGCAUUGGAAACUGGGAGAUUUGAGUGCAGGAGAGGAGAGUGGAAUUCCAUGUGUAGCGGUGAAAUGCGUAGAUAUAUGGAGGAACACCGGAGGCGAAAGCGGCUCUCUGGCCUGUAACUGACGCUGAUGUGCGAAAGCGUGGGGAUCAAACAGG
This 252-nucleotide ribosomal RNA is filed under the name uncultured bacterium. RNAcentral's name for it is "partial 16S ribosomal RNA". It matches the Rfam family "Bacterial small subunit ribosomal RNA", at positions 524 to 776 of the family's 1533-position model. The record is from RNAcentral.